RNAcentral lists this ribosomal RNA (732 nucleotides) under uncultured archaeon. RNAcentral describes it as "bacterial SSU rRNA". It matches the Rfam family "Archaeal small subunit ribosomal RNA", at positions 321 to 1053 of the family's 1478-position model. The record is from RNAcentral.
CCCUACGGGGUGCAGCAGGCGCGAAAACUUUACAAUGCGGGAAACCGUGAUAAGGGGACACCGAGUGCUAGCAUCAUAUGCUGGCUGUCCAGGUGUGUAAAAUACACCUGUUAGCAAGGGCCGGGCAAGACCGGUGCCAGCCGCCGCGGUAACACCGGCGGCCCGAGUGGUGAUCGUGAUUAUUGGGUCUAAAGGGUCCGUAGCCGGUUUGGUCAGUCCUCCGGGAAAUCUGAUAGCUCAACUAUUAGGCUUUCGGGGGAUACUGCCAGACUUGGAACCGGGAGAGGUAAGAGGUACUACAGGGGUAGGAGUGAAAUCUUGUAAUCCCUGUGGGACCACCUGUGGCGAAGGCGUCUUACCAGAACGGGUUCGACGGUGAGGGACGAAAGCUGGGGGCACGAACCGGAUUAGAUACCCGGGUAGUCCCAGCCGUAAACGAUGCUCGCUAGGUGUCAGGCAUGGCGCGACCGUGUCUGGUGCCGCAGGGAAGCCGUGAAGCGAGCCACCUGGGAAGUACGGCCGCAAGGCUGAAACUUAAAGGAAUUGGCGGGGGAGCACAACAACGGGUGGAGCCUGCGGUUUAAUUGGACUCAACGCCGGACAACUCACCGGGGACGACAGCAAUAUGUAGGUCAGGCUGAAGACCUUACCUGAAUCGCUGAGAGGAGGUGCAUGGCCGUCGCCAGUUCGUACUGUGAAGCAUCCUGUUAAGUCAGGCAACGAGCGAGACCC